This 823-nucleotide long non-coding RNA is filed under the name Spirodela polyrhiza (greater duckweed). Its description in RNAcentral is "long non-coding RNA (SPOL_LNC002275)". The record is from RNAcentral. Lineage: Eukaryota; Viridiplantae; Streptophyta; Magnoliopsida; Alismatales; Araceae.
AUUAAUGCCUUUUAUAUUUCUUAUGCUAUGAGGUAUAUCUCAAAAAAUGAAAUUUUAUGAUGCAUUUACUUUGGCAAAGUAAAAAACUAAAUAUUUUUAAAUUUUUAUUGGGACAUACUUUAAAUUUUUUGAUUAAUUAUGGACACAAAAACUCAAGAUUUCAAUAUAUUUAUUGAUGCAUGCAUUAUGUGGCUAAAAAAAAGAUGAAAGAAUGAAUGAGAGAGGAUAGCCAAGACUCCUUUGUGAAUUGAGAGAGGAUAUCAAAAGAAGGUUUUGGGUAGUAGAAUAAAUGAAGAAUCUCCACCAAAACUACAUGAAUUAUUAGUGUAGUAGGCAUAAACUUGAUGUACAGUUGUGCUUAUGUGCAACAACAUCUAGAGUUAUUUGGUGGGUUGAAGUCAUUUAAAGCCUCUAGGGGCUUGAGAGUGCCUUGGUAAUUGUUUGGUGGGAUGGAACUUAUAAACUAAGUAGAGGCUUGUCAAUUUCGUAACAACUUUUCAAUGAGCCAAAGUCAAUACAUUCAAUGGGUAUUUGACAACACCAUAGUUAUUGUUUGGUAGAAAUAAGCUGCUACAGCCGAAGGAGAAGUGAUAACUCCUUGGUAUCUAUUUAGUAGGUCAUAGCCUACAAAGUAAAGAUUGAUUCACUAUAAGGAAUCUUAUUCAUAAUCUCAAGUGCUAGAUUGCUUGGAAGCCCAAUAGACUAUUCAAUUUUACAUGAUUUGUUUACAAUACAUAGAUGUAUUAUUCUUAUUUUUAGAAUCAGCGCAAGGUACUAUUCAUGUGUGGCCCACUAAGACAAAGCAUAAUUAAACUAAUAAGAU